UUAAAAUUUAAUUUUUAAAAUUAUGAGUGGUUUUAGUUAAUUAUUUUUAGUACCAUUAGUAUAAUGUUUUAAUCAAAAAAAAAAUGUUAUUUUUUUAUUAAUCUUCUUUUGAAGUUUUUUAUACUUAAUUUUUUUGUAUUAUUGAAAUUUAUAUGCAAAUUUUAGUUUAAUUUAAAAAGAAUUUUAAAUAAAUUUAUUUAAUUGAAAUUAGUUCGCAGUAAAAAAGUUUAAAUAAUUUAAUAAUUUAAGAUUUAUUUAAAAUAUUUAAUAUUGACAAAAUUUGUGCCAGCAGUUGCGGUUAUACAAGUAAUAUAACAAAAAAUGUUUGGUGUUUACUUAAUGAAAAUAUAAAAUUUAAAUUUUAUUUUAUAAGGUGAAAUUUUAAAAUAAAAUUAAUUUAUUUUUUGUUUAUGAGGUUAAUAAAUUUAAAAUUUAAACUAGGAUUAGAUACCCUAUUAUUUUGAAUAAAUAUUUUUACCAGGUUAGUAGUAGUUAUGUUCUUGAAAAUUAAAGAAGAUGGCGGUAUUUUAGUCUAUUCAGAGGAACCUGUCCUAUAAUUGAUGGUCCACGAGUUAAUAAACUUAUUUUCUAAGUUUGCAUAUCGCCGUAGAUUGAAUAUUCUUUAAGGAAUAAUAACGUUCAAGAAGUUUAUUUAAGUAGAAAAUAAAUCAGGUCAAGAUGUAGCUGAUGAAUAAGAAGAGAUGGGUUACAAUAAAUUUAUUUAUAAUGGAUUAAUGAAUGAAAAUUCUUAUGAAGGUGGAUUUGAAGGUAAUUUUAUAAAAAUUUAUAAGAUGAUUUUAGUUCUAAAAUAUGUACAUAUCGCCCGUCGCUUUCAUUAUAAAGUGGAAUAAGUCGUAACAUAGUAGAUGUACUGGAAAGUGUAUCUGGAAAGGU
This 894-nucleotide non-coding RNA is filed under the name Naupactus xanthographus (South American fruit tree weevil). The record is from RNAcentral. Lineage: Eukaryota; Metazoa; Arthropoda; Insecta; Coleoptera; Curculionidae.